This 652-nucleotide small RNA is filed under the name Pongo abelii (Sumatran orangutan). RNAcentral describes it as "retained intron". Lineage: Eukaryota; Metazoa; Chordata; Mammalia; Primates; Hominidae. The record is from RNAcentral.
GAGCAGAGCACCAAGAUCAUUCUGGCAGGAACAGCCAGUGGGAGGUUCCAGCUGAGCGCUCCCCAGAGGUGAGCUGACCCCCAGCCACAGCACACAGGACCAGGGUGUGAGAACAGCAUCAUCAGCAUCAUGCUAUUACAAUCCCAAACCACGGGGGUUUCUGACAGCUUUACACCAAAGGGCAUCACCAUCCCUCAAAGAGAGAAACCUGGACACAUGUACCAAAAUGAAGAUUACCUGCAGAACGGGCUGCCAACAGAAACCACUGUUCUUGGGGUAAGUCCACCUCAUUAUAAGGGGAAUAUCGAGAAAAUACUUUGUAAAUGUAUCUAGACUACAGAUCUACAGUGGGUCUGGGAAACUCUUUCACUCUUUUCUGGCUGACUCCAGGCUAAUGAAGACAUGAAAUGGAGCUUUAAGGGAAGACUAUAUGCUCUGCAGCAGUUUCUAGAAACUAAAACCACUAGAUCUUUUUCACUAGCAUGCUUCACAAUUAACAAGUUAGUCUUUCUUACUUUAUUUAUUUAUAUAUUUAUUUAUUUUGAGACAGAAUCUCCCUCUGUCACCCAGUGCGGAGUGCAGUGGCACGAUCUCAGCUCACUGCAACCUCAGCCUCCUGGGUUCAAGUGAUUCUCCUGCCUCAGCCUCCCGA